RNAcentral lists this ribosomal RNA (138 nucleotides) under uncultured eukaryote. RNAcentral's name for it is "partial 18S ribosomal RNA". It matches the Rfam family "Eukaryotic small subunit ribosomal RNA", at positions 1299 to 1458 of the family's 1831-position model. The record is from RNAcentral.
UGGUGGGUUGCCUUGUCAGGUUGAUUCCGGUAACGAACGAGACCUCAGCCUGCUAACUAGUCACGUCCGCUCCGGCGGUCGGCAGACUUCUUAGAGGGACUAUUGUCGUUUAGGCGAUGGAAGUAUGAGGCAAUAACA